RNAcentral lists this ribosomal RNA (460 nucleotides) under uncultured bacterium. RNAcentral's name for it is "partial 16S ribosomal RNA". It matches the Rfam family "Bacterial small subunit ribosomal RNA", at positions 338 to 795 of the family's 1533-position model. The record is from RNAcentral.
CCUACGGGAGGCAGCAGUGAGGAAUAUUGGUCAAUGGGCUUACGCCUGAACCAGCCAAGUCGCGUGAAGGAAGACUGCCCUAUGGGUUGUAAACCUCUUUUGUCAGGGAGCAACGCCGGCUACGUGUAGCCGGACUGAGAGUACCUGAAGGAAAAACAUCGGCUAACUCCUUGCCAGCAGCCGCGGUAAUACGGAGGAUGCGAGCGUUAUCCGGGUUUAGUGGGGUUAAAGGGUGCGUAGGCGGAAUGCCAAGUCAGCGGUAAAAUCGCGGGGCUCAACCUCGCUCCGCCGUUGAAACUGGCGUUCUUGAGUGGGCGAGAAGUAUGCGGAAUGCGUGGUGUAGCGGUGAAAUGCAUAGAUAUCACGCAGAACUCCGAUUGCGAAGGCAGCAGACCGGCGCCCAACUGACGCUGAAGCACGAAAGCGUGGGUAUCGAACAGGAUUAGAUACCCUUGUAGUC